UAACGCGUGAGGAACCUACCUCGGAGUGGGGGAUAACAGACCGAAAGGCCUGCUAAUACCGCAUGAUGCAGUUGGACCGCAUGGUCCUGACUGCCAAAGAUUUAUCGCUCUGAGAUGGCCUCGCGUCUGAUUAGCUUGUUGGCGGGGUAACGGCCCACCAAAGCGACGAUCAGUAGCCGACCUGAGAGGGUGACCGGCCACAUUGGGACUGAGACACGGCCCAA
This 224-nucleotide ribosomal RNA is filed under the name uncultured bacterium. RNAcentral's name for it is "partial 16S ribosomal RNA". It matches the Rfam family "Bacterial small subunit ribosomal RNA", at positions 111 to 334 of the family's 1533-position model. The record is from RNAcentral.